Molecule: long non-coding RNA, 163 nt
Organism: Helianthus annuus (common sunflower)
Lineage: Eukaryota; Viridiplantae; Streptophyta; Magnoliopsida; Asterales; Asteraceae
Exons: 3
Source: RefSeq, a predicted model, not a curated record
AACAUUUUGACACUAUUCAGCCUAUUGAUGAGGAAGCCGUCAAUGUCGAACCAUCCGAUUCAAAUCGUAAUGAUGAUUUGCCUGUUAAGGAUUCUAUAUCCCAAACGGGAGACGAUGUAACCCCUUGCUCAAAUGUGUUUAAAGUUGGCUUUACAACAUCGUU